This 305-nucleotide ribosomal RNA is filed under the name uncultured bacterium. RNAcentral's name for it is "partial 16S ribosomal RNA". It matches the Rfam family "Bacterial small subunit ribosomal RNA", at positions 506 to 808 of the family's 1533-position model. The record is from RNAcentral.
ACAGCAGUAGCCGCGGUAAUACGUAGGUCCCGAGCGUUGUCCGGAUUUAUUGGGCGUAAAGCGAGCGCAGGCGGUUAGAUAAGUCUGAAGUUAAAGGCUGUGGCUUAACCAUAGUACGCUUUGGAAACUGUUUAACUUGAGUGCAGAAGGGGAGAGUGGAAUUCCAUGUGUAGCGGUGAAAUGCGUAGAUAUAUGGAGGAACACCGGCGGCGAAAGCGGCUCUCUGGUCUGUAACUGACGCUGAGGCUCGAAAGCGUGGGGAGCAAACAGGAUUAGAUACCCCCGUAGUCCCUGUCUCUUAUACA